UAGCUCAGUUGGUACAGAAUCUGCCUGCAGUGCAGGAGACCCAGGUUUGAUUCCUGG
Ovis aries (sheep) is the source of this 57-nucleotide non-coding RNA. NCBI's taxonomy places the organism in Eukaryota, Metazoa, Chordata, Mammalia, Artiodactyla, Bovidae. The record is from Rfam.